GAAAGAUGAAAAGAACUUUGAAAAGAGAGUUAAACAGUACGUGAAAUUGUUGAAAGGGAAACGAUUGAAGUCAGUCAUACCAACGGGAAAUCAACCUUUUGAGCUCGGUCUCGUGGGUUUUGAAGAGUUUCAAAGCCUUCGGAUUCGCGGGAUUGGGAUCUCUUGGUGUACUUUCUCGUACGGUUAGUCAACAUCGGUUUUGAAUGUCAUAAAAUGACUGGAGGAAUGUAGCUUCGAUCUCGUAUUGAAGUGUUAUA
Molecule: ribosomal RNA, 257 nt
Filed under: uncultured Funneliformis
Lineage: Eukaryota; Fungi; Glomeromycota; Glomeromycetes; Glomerales; Glomeraceae
Description: partial large subunit ribosomal RNA
Rfam family: Eukaryotic large subunit ribosomal RNA
Source: RNAcentral